GCUGAUUGCGCACAGGCACACCGCACACCAACCAAAAGUCCGAAAUUGCUAAUAAAGAAAAACCCCCGUCGCCACCACCAUCGUCCACUACCAGCAUUACCUCCGCCACCGCCGUCGUACGAAAGAGAAAAUCAACUAUGGAGUCGCCUGGGAAGUGGCUUGAGAAGGAAUUAAACGAAUUGUGCAAACGAGUUGAAACCGCUUUAGACUUCGAUUCUGAUAUGAUUUCCGGCCUCGUUUCUUACUGUGAAUUCGCUCCUCCUAUUGACGCCAAAGAAUACCUUGAUAACAUUAUUGGCGAGGAAGCAGGCAAAACUGUGAUACAGGAAUACUUGAGACGAAGGGGUUUCUCAGCAUCACCUGAAGUUGUGGGUGGUCCUCCUUCCACAUUACAGGCAUAUGUCAAGCCAAGCGCUGAUGAAGGCUUGACCAGUGGAGCUAAGAAACCAUCAAGGGUACAGAAAGAGGCUUCAGCUUCUAAUAGCCAAUUUAAUCCGGUGAAAACACAGGUUGCAGAGUCGGGAAACAAGCAACAGAGCAAUUCUAGAAAGAAAAAGGGUGGGAAGGUUAUUUCACUUGCAGAAGCUGCCAAAGGAUCUAUCGUAUAUCAGCAAGGCAAACCUUGCUCUUGCCAGGCACGCCGGCAUAAAUUGGUGAGCAACUGCUUAUCUUGCGGUAAAAUAGUAUGUGAACAGGAAGGGGAAGGGCCUUGUAAUUUUUGUGGGGCUCUAGUGCUGAAAGAAGGAAGCACAUAUGCUGGUUUGGAGAUGUCUUCUGUACCUGAAACGGAAGCUGAGGUAGCUGCAAAUGCUUAUGCCAAGAGACUUGUUGAUUUUGAUCGGAAUGCAGCAGCACGUACAAGUGUCAUUGAUGACCAAAGUGAUUACUAUGAUGAGGGUAAUAGCUGGCUAUCAAUCGAGGAAAAAGAACUUUUGAGGAAGAAACAAGAAGAGAUUAAAGCAGAUGAGGAGGCGAAACGAAAGAGAGUAGUCGUGGCUUUCGACUUGGUUGGCCGUAGGGUAUUGUUGAACCAAGAUGACGCUUCAGAACUAGAAUCUGGGCUCAACAUUCUACGGCCAUCUGAUAAGAAAGAAGUGAGUCGAAUCAAACCAAACCCCAGCCUUCAGGUGCAGCCAGUUUUCAUUGAUCCCGGCCCUAGGGAAAAGCCUCUCAAGGACAAGCGCUCUAGCAAAGGCCUUAAUAAAGGAUUGUGCUUAGAGAUUAGUGGGAGGGUGCAACAUGAUCGCAAUGAGUUGAAGCGUAUUGUGGGGGAGCCACUUGGAUCUUCUUCAGCAAAUGACCAUCUGCAAGGACAGUCUUGGAAUGGUGUGGCACGUAUGGAAGAUGAUGCUGAAUGCUCAGCAUACUAGGAGGUGUGAAUGCUUACAUAGUGAUUAUUAGAGCUUCUAAGUUCUAACUAUACAAUUGGAUGAGAUCACUUUUCUGCUUCAAGUACUUGCUAAUCAAUAGAAGUGCAUAUUCUGCUGCCCUGUUAUCAGUGAGGAACUUCUUUAUAAGGGGUUAGGUUGUGAGAUAUGUCCAAUUACCACCAGACGGAGUUGAUGUUGAGUUGCUGCAUGAUGCCACGAAAAGAGAAGCUCGAGGCGGCUAAAUCUGGCGCGUGGUGUUAUAUGUGUAGCAAGCAUUAUAUCGUGAAUGUCCUUAAAGCUCCUUUUUUGCUUGGUCAUUAGUAGGUGGCUCUGGAGGUGUCCUUAUUUGGUCUGGGGCAAGUUAGUUUACCAAAUUGUAAUGAUAUCAACAAUGUGACCUUAUACAUUUGUGAUGGUUAAUGUUUGGAAAUGCUGUGAUUAUGAGAUACGCUUGCACAAGUGACUGAGAUUGACAUACUGAACUUGUAGUGUUAUACUUUUA
Molecule: RNA transcript, 1872 nt
Organism: Spinacia oleracea (spinach)
Lineage: Eukaryota; Viridiplantae; Streptophyta; Magnoliopsida; Caryophyllales; Amaranthaceae
Exons: 5
Source: RefSeq, a predicted model, not a curated record